CCGGGCACUCUGGAUGGACUGCCGGCGACAAGCCGGAGGAAGGUGGGAGUGACGUCAAGUCAUCAUGGCCCUUAUGUCCAGGGCGACACACGUGCUACAAUGGCCGGCACAGCGGGAAGCGAGGGGGCGACCGUUGAGCGGAUCCCUCAAAGCCGGUCUCAGUUCGGAUUGCAGUCUGCAACUCGACUGCAUGAAGUUGGAAUCGCUAGUAAUCGUGGAUCAGCCAAGCCGCGGUGAAUACGUUCCCGGGCCUU
Molecule: ribosomal RNA, 254 nt
Filed under: uncultured Thermovirga sp.
Lineage: Bacteria; Thermotogati; Synergistota; Synergistia; Synergistales; Thermovirgaceae
Description: partial 16S ribosomal RNA
Rfam family: Bacterial small subunit ribosomal RNA
Source: RNAcentral